UCUGUUGGUUAAGCCGCUGCCAUUAGCUCAGGUCAUGAUCCCAGGGUCCUGGGAUCAAGUCCCGAAUUGGGCUCCUUGCUCAGCAGGGAGCCUGCCUCGCUCUCUGCCUCUGCCUGCUGCUCUGCCUGCUUGCGUCCCUCCAAAGUAGUUUUUAAAUGUUAAAGUUGACUUACAGGAUCCUAAGAGUCAGGCUAAGAUUGAUUUUUGCCCUUAGCAAACUAUUAACAUCAAGGCAGCUGAGGACAUUCCUAGAGGAAUGUCACUCUGCCUAUUUCCAGAUUUUGUCAGUGGACUGUUACGUAGUAAGGUAAUUUAAUUUUUCUUUUGCCUUUUUUUCUCACAUCAUUAGGAACAGUUGUUUUGUACUUCACGUUAGUGAGAAACCAUUUUCUUUAUGGUUGAACCAUUACACACUUCAAGAUUUAUUGUUACAGCAACUAUUGUUGCUGAUUUUUUCAAAUCCCUUUUAGUUGAACACAUCAGAAAAGUAAAUAAAACACACAUCCAUAUAGAAAAGUAAAUGCAGGAGCACCUGGGUGGCUCAGUGGGUUAAAACCUCUGCCUUCAGCUCGGGUCAUGAUCGCAGGGACCUGGGAUAGAGCCCCCGGCUCUCUGCUCAGCAGGGAGCCUGAUUCCUCCUCUCUGCCUGCCUCUGCCUGCUUGUGAUCUCUGUCUGUCAAAUAAAUAAAUAAUCUUUAAAAAAAUUUAAAAAAAAAGUAAAUGCAACAAAAAUGUUUGGCCCAUGAUUUAUCAUAGGCCAGCACCCAUUAUAACUACCAUCCAAAUUGAGAAAGCCUCAGCACCCGAAAGCCUUUUUAUGCUUUUAUGCUAUGAGAGUCAGUAUGGUGGUUAACUUUAUAUGGUUGAGAGAAGAAAGUGGUUGAUGUUUGGGAGCUUUCUUCUCUCAACCAUAUAAAGUUAACCACCUUACUGACUCUCAUGGCAUUAAUUUUCCAUGUCCAACUGAUUUUUAUGUGUGGUUAGAAGAGGAACCUGAGUUUAAUUUUAUUUCCAUCUAGAUACCUAAUCCAAAACUAUUCACUGAAAAAACUUUUUCUCAUUUCUAUACAUUGCCUCCUUUCCAUAUUUUUCUCUAUAUAUGUGAGCCUAUUUCUGGUCCUAAUCCAUUCCUAGGUCUUUAUGUCUAUCUUGGCACCAGUACCUCACUGUUUUCAUUGUAGUGGCUUUCUAAUAAGUUUUCAUAUGUGGUAAGUAUAUCCCACACAAUAUUUCUUUUCCAAAAGGACUACUAUUAGCCCUCUGUAUUUUCAUGAUUGUUGAGCUCCCCAAACACCCUGGAAUUUUCUUAUGCUGGAUCGUUUUGGGGGAAAUUAUAAUGGUGAGUCUUCCAGUUCUGUGGCCUACAUGCUCCAUUUCUUUAAUUGCUGUCAAUAUUUUAUAGAUUUAUGUACAGAAUUCUGCACAUCUUUUGUUAGAUUUAUUCCUUGGCAUUUACUGUUUUGUUUUGUUUUUCUAAUGUCUUACAAAUGGUAUCUUUUUUAAAAUUUCAUUUUCUGCUUGCUUGUACAUAGAAAUAAAAUCAGUUUUUGUGUGUUGAC
Molecule: long non-coding RNA, 1559 nt
Organism: Mustela lutreola (European mink)
Lineage: Eukaryota; Metazoa; Chordata; Mammalia; Carnivora; Mustelidae
Exons: 2
Source: RefSeq, a predicted model, not a curated record